GCGAUCGUGGUGAACUCGGCGGACACGUCGGUCUUCCAAACCGAAGAAGAGGGUUCGAUGCCCUCCGGUCGCU
Molecule: transfer RNA, 73 nt
Filed under: Lentzea jiangxiensis
Lineage: Bacteria; Bacillati; Actinomycetota; Actinomycetes; Pseudonocardiales; Pseudonocardiaceae
Description: tRNA_Gly_TCC
Rfam family: tRNA
About the family: Transfer RNA (tRNA) molecules are approximately 80 nucleotides in length. Their secondary structure includes four short double-helical elements and three loops (D, anti-codon, and T loops).
Source: RNAcentral